GGCUGGAUCAUUAUCGAGCUUACAAAAAAAGUAGUGCCUUUAUGGUACUUCGUGGCAGGAAUAUGUGCGGUGCAUUUGUUUGAUGCAUGACUGCACGCCACAGUGACCCAACGGCUAACGGUUGGUGUCUAUCUGGUGCUGAGCAGCUGUUGAAUUGUCCGUGGCUGUGUUGAGGCAUCAGGGCACGCAUACGUCCUUGAAAGAUAGGGUAGCGGAUGCGUAGACUCAAUGAACUCCAUGCCUGGGAGUUGCCAACCACCCAUUUUUCUAACGAAUUUUCUAAAACAAAGACAUAUAUCAGUCUUACCGGUGGAUCACUCGGUUCGUGGAUCGAUGAAGAACGCAGCAAACUGCGAUAAGUAGCGUGAAUUGCAGACGCUUUGAACGUUAAACUUUCGAACGCACAUUGCGCCGUAGGAGUCCUACCCUACGGCACAUCUGGUUGAGGGUCGUGAUCAAAAACCGCAGGACUGUAGCGGUAUUAGAACUAGCUGGUGAAUCACGAGUUCGGCCUACCAGCCUCUGGUCGAACGUGUUUUGCCAUAAUGCUAUAGAGGACAUCCCUUAGUGGAUGCCUACCACACGGAUGAUCUAUUAGCCGAUGCGAUAGGUCCCGGUCCAAAGGUAUCAUACGACUAUAUAUACUUGCGGACGUCGGGGAUACGGCUAGUACGUUUCAUACAUGCCUGGUUAUGAGAGUUUUCGCUCUCCCGACCUCAACUCA
Molecule: ribosomal RNA, 724 nt
Rfam family: 5.8S ribosomal RNA (bases 299-452)